Mycena epipterygia is the source of this 100-nucleotide non-coding RNA. The record is from the annotation of a GenBank genome assembly. NCBI's taxonomy places the organism in Eukaryota, Fungi, Basidiomycota, Agaricomycetes, Agaricales, Mycenaceae.
GGCUCGGUGGCGGAUGGUUCCGCGCCCGCACUCAAUGGUGAUAAUCUUUAGAUACCGAUCUUUUCUGCGGGAGUCGCUCGUUCAAUUCGAGCCUGGGCCA